UACGGAGGGUGCGAGCGUUGUCCGGAAUCACUGGGCGUAAAGGGCGCGUAGGUGGCCUGUGGAAGUCUGCGGUGAAAGCCCGGCGCUCAACGCCGGGUCGGCCGUGGAUACUCUCGGGCUCGAGCUUACUAGAGGCAGAUGGAAUUCCGGGUGUAGCGGUGGAAUGCGUAGAGAUCCGGAAGAACACCGGUGGCGAAGGCGGUCCGCUGGGGUAAUGCUGACACUGAUGCGCGACAGCGUGGGGAGCAAACAGG
RNAcentral lists this ribosomal RNA (254 nucleotides) under uncultured bacterium. RNAcentral's name for it is "partial 16S ribosomal RNA". It matches the Rfam family "Bacterial small subunit ribosomal RNA", at positions 524 to 776 of the family's 1533-position model. The record is from RNAcentral.